RNAcentral lists this transfer RNA (74 nucleotides) under Listeria monocytogenes. RNAcentral describes it as "tRNA-Met". It matches the Rfam family "tRNA". From Rfam's summary of the family: Transfer RNA (tRNA) molecules are approximately 80 nucleotides in length. Their secondary structure includes four short double-helical elements and three loops (D, anti-codon, and T loops). Further hydrogen bonds mediate the characteristic L-shaped molecular structure. tRNAs have two regions of fundamental functional importance: the anti-codon, which is responsible for specific mRNA codon recognition, and the 3' end, to which the tRNAs corresponding amino acid is attached (by aminoacyl-tRNA synthetases). tRNAs cope with the degeneracy of the genetic code in two manners: having more than one tRNA (with a specific anti-codon) for a particular amino acid; and 'wobble' base-pairing, i.e. permitting non-standard base-pairing at the 3rd anti-codon position. Lineage: Bacteria; Bacillati; Bacillota; Bacilli; Caryophanales; Listeriaceae. The record is from RNAcentral.
UGACCUUUAGCUCAGUUGGUUAGAGCAGACGGCUCAUAACCGUCCGGUCGCAGGGUCGAGUCCUGCAAGGUCCA